CCUGUUUUGAGCCUUAACUACGAAGAGUUUUAAGUGAUUCAUUGGGUCUAACAAAUUGGAUUCUAUUAUUGACCAAUUAAGUUUGUUAAAAUUAGGCAAUAAUGAGAAAAAAAACGUGAAUAUAGCAACAAACUGCGAUGAAUGGUGGUGCCCCUGCCCCCGAGCUUCAGCGAGGUGUUACAUGAUUUAGAUUUAAAAAGAUUAACUGAUUCAGAUGCUCGAACAAUCAAACUAGCGAAAAGUGGUUUUCGCUAUUGGUCAAGUGGAUUAGAGAUGAGAUACUGCAAAGAGGACCGCAAGAGUGGUAAUGUUAAAUGUUUUCCCAAACCAUCUAGCUGGCCAGAUUCAGUUAAUGCCAGCACAACUUAGUUUUCUUUAAAAAAUAA
This is a long non-coding RNA of Adelges cooleyi (spruce gall adelgid), 386 nucleotides long. RefSeq lists it as uncharacterized. The record is from RefSeq and is a predicted model, not a curated record. Lineage: Eukaryota; Metazoa; Arthropoda; Insecta; Hemiptera; Adelgidae. The transcript is spliced from 3 exons.